Molecule: ribosomal RNA, 772 nt
Filed under: uncultured Methanocorpusculum sp.
Lineage: Archaea; Methanobacteriati; Methanobacteriota; Methanomicrobia; Methanomicrobiales; Methanocorpusculaceae
Description: bacterial SSU rRNA
Rfam family: Archaeal small subunit ribosomal RNA
Source: RNAcentral
CCAUUGCUAUCAGGGUUUGACUAAGCCAUGCGAGUCGAGAGGUGUAAGACCUCGGCAUACUGCUCAGUAACACGUGGUUAACCUGCCCUAAGGUGGAGAAUACUCCCGGGAAACUGGGGCUAAUGCUCCAUAGUGGAUAUGUCCUGGAAUGGUAUAUCCUCGAAAGAUCCGUCGCCUUAGGAUGGGACUGCGUCCGAUUAGGUUGUUGGCGGGGUAACGGCCCACCAAGCCUUUUAUCGGUACGGGUUGUGGGAGCAAGAUCCCGGAGAUGGAUUCUGAGACAUGAAUCCAGGCCCUACGGGGCGCAGCAGGCGCGCAAACUUUACAAUGCGAGCAAUCGUGAUAAGGAAACCCUGAGUGCCUGUCGAUGCAGGCUGUUCAUAUAUCUAAAUCAUAUGUGAAGAAAGGGCAGGGCAAGACCGGUGCCAGCCGCCGCGGUAAUACCGGCUGCUCGAGUGAUGGCCACUAUUACUGGGUUUAAAGCGUCCGUAGCUUGACUGUUAGGUCUCUUGGGAAAUCUUCGCGCUCAACGUGAAGGCGUCUAAGAGAUACCGGCAGUCUUGGAACUGGGAGAGGUAAACCGUACUUCGGGGGUAGGAGUGAAAUCUUGUAAUCCUCGAGGGACGACCUAUGGCGAAGGCAGUUUACCAGAACAGCUUCGACAGUGAGGGACGAAAGCUGGGGGAGCAAACGGGAUUAGAUACCCCGGUAGUCCCAGCCGUAAACAAUGUGCGUUAGGUGUGUCGGUAACCACGUGUUACUGAUGCGCCGA